RNAcentral lists this ribosomal RNA (1248 nucleotides) under Trichoderma asperellum. Its description in RNAcentral is "LSU rRNA". It matches the Rfam family "Eukaryotic large subunit ribosomal RNA", at positions 178 to 1436 of the family's 3401-position model. Lineage: Eukaryota; Fungi; Ascomycota; Sordariomycetes; Hypocreales; Hypocreaceae. The record is from RNAcentral.
CCGGAAUUUCCCCGGGAAACGGGACGCCCCACGAGGGGGGGAGAGCCCCCGUUUGGGUUGGCCCACCGAGCCUUUUGUAAAAGUUCCUUUGGACGAAUUCGAGUUAGUUUGGGAAAUGCUGCUCCAAAAUGGGAAGGUAUAUGUUCUUCUAAAAGCUAAAUAUUGGCCCAGAGACCGAUAGCGCCACAAGUAGAGUGAUCGAAAGAUGAAAAGCACCUUGAAAAGAGGGUUAAACAGUACGUGAAAUUGUUGAAAGGGAAGCGCUUGUGACCAGACUUGGGCGCGGCGGAUCAUCCGGGGUUCUCUCCGGUGCACUUCGCCGCGUUCAGGCCAGCAUCAGUUCGUCGCGGGGGAAAAAGGCUUCGGGAACGUGGCUCCUCCGGGAGUGUUAUAGCCCGUUGCAUAAUACCCUGCGGUGGACUGAGGACCGCGCAUCUGCAAGGAUGCUGGCGUAAUGGUCACCAGCGACCCGUCUUGAAACACGGACCAAGGAGUCGUCUUCGUAUGCGAGUGUUCGGGUGUCAAACCCCUACGCGUAAUGAAAGUGAACGCAGGUGAGAGCUUCGGCGCAUCAUCGACCGAUCCUGAUGUUCUCGGAUGGAUUUGAGUAAGAGCAUACGGGGCCGGACCCGAAAGAAGGUGAACUAUGCCUGUAUAGGGUGAAGCCAGAGGAAACUCUGGUGGAGGCUCGCAGCGGUUCUGACGUGCAAAUCGAUCGUCAAAUAUGGGCAUGGGGGCGAAAGACUAAUCGAACCUUCUAGUAGCUGGUUUCCGCCGAAGUUUCCCUCAGGAUAGCAGUGUUGAGCUCAGUUUUAUGAGGUAAAGCGAAUGAUUAGGGACUCGGGGGCGCUAUAUUGCCUUCAUCCAUUCUCAAACUUUAAAUAUGUAAGAAGCCCUUGUUACUUAGUUGAACGUGGGCAUUCGAAUGUAUCAACACUAGUGGGCCAUUUUUGGUAAGCAGAACUGGCGAUGCGGGAUGAACCGAACGCGAGGUUAAGGUGCCAGAGUAGACGCUCAUCAGACACCACAAAAGGCGUUAGUACAUCUUGACAGCAGGACGGUGGCCAUGGAAGUCGGAAUCCGCUAAGGACUGUGUAACAACUCACCUGCCGAAUGUACUAGCCCUGAAAAUGGAUGGCGCUCAAGCGUCUCACCCAUACCUCGCCCUCGGGGUAGAAACGAUGCCCCGAGGAGUAGGCGGACGUGGAGGUCGUGACGAAGCCUAGGGCGGAGCCCGUUCAAAGUUUG